RNAcentral lists this signal recognition particle RNA (148 nucleotides) under Homo sapiens (human). Its description in RNAcentral is "Metazoan signal recognition particle RNA". It matches the Rfam family "Metazoan signal recognition particle RNA". Rfam says of the family: The signal recognition particle (SRP) is a universally conserved ribonucleoprotein. It is involved in the co-translational targeting of proteins to membranes. The record is from Rfam by way of RNAcentral. Lineage: Eukaryota; Metazoa; Chordata; Mammalia; Primates; Hominidae.
GCUGGGCAUGGUGGUGCGCGCCUGUAAUCCCAGCUACUUGGGAGGCUGAGGCAGGAGAAUCACUUGAACCCAGGAGGCUGAGGUUGCAGUGAGCCGAGAUCAUGCCACUGCACUCCAGCCUGGGUGAUAGAGCGAGACUCUGUCUUAA